GAGGGGCAGCGGGGGAGGAAGCUUGCUUUCUCCUGCCGGCGACCGGCGCACGGGUGAGUAACACGUAUGCAACCUGGCCGUCACAGGUGGAUAACCGGAAGAAAUUCCGACUAAUACAGCAUAACACUCCUGAGGGACAUCCUUUGGGAGUCAAAGGAGGCGACUCCGGUGACGGAUGGGCAUGCGGCGCAUUAGGUAGUUGGUAGGGUAACGGCCUACCAAGCCGACGAUGCGUAGGGGUUCUGAGAGGAAGGUCCCCCACAUUGGAACUGAGACACGGUCCAAACUCCUACGGGAGGCAGCAGUGAGGAAUAUUGGUCAAUGGCCGGAAGGCUGAACCAGCCAAGUCGCGUGAGGGAAUAAGGCCCUAUGGGUCGUAAACCUCUUUUGUCAGGGAGCAAAGGCGUCCACGAGUGGACGAAAGGAGAGUACCUGAAGAAAAAGCAUCGGCUAACUCCGUGCCAGCAGCCGCGGUAAUACGGAGGAUGCGAGCGUUAUCCGGAUUUAUUGGGUUUAAAGGGUGCGUAGGCGGAGUGUCAAGUCAGCGGUAAAAUUUCGGGGCUCAACCCCGUCGUGCCGUUGAAACUGACACCCUUGAGUGAGUGAGAAGUAAGCGGAAUGCGUGGUGUAGCGGUGAAAUGCAUAGAUAUCACGCAGAACGCCGAUUGCGAAGGCAGCUUACCGGCGCUCAACUGACGUGGGGGCACGAAAGUGCGGGGUAUCGAACAGGAUUAGAUACCCUGGUAGUCCGCACAGUAAACGAUGAAUGCUAGAUGUCCGGGGCGAAUGAGCUCUGGGUGUCACAGCGAAAGCGUUAAGCAUUCCACCUGGGGAGUACGCCGGCAACGGUGAAACUCAAAGGAAUUGACGGGGGCCCGCACAAGCGGAGGAACAUGUGGUUUAAUUCGAUGAUACGCGAGGAACCUUACCCGGGCUCAAACGCCUCAGGAAUCAUUUGUGAAAGCAGAUGAGUCUUCGGACCUGAGGCGAGGUGCUGCAUAGUUGUCGUCAGCUCGUGCCGUGAGGUGUCGGCUUAAGUGCCAUAACGAGCGCAACCCCCACCGACAGUUGCUAACUGGUUAAGCAGAGGACUCUGUCGGGACUGCCGGCGCAAGCUGUGAGGAAGGCGGGGACGACGUCAAAUCAGCACGGCCCUUACGUCCGGGGCGACACACGUGUUACAAUGGCAGGUACAGCGGGAAGCGACCGAGCGAUCGGCAGCGGAACCCGAAAACCUGUCUCAGUUCGGAUCGGAGUCUGCAACCCGACUCCGUGAAGCUGGAUUCGCUAGUAAUCGCG
RNAcentral lists this ribosomal RNA (1299 nucleotides) under uncultured bacterium. Its description in RNAcentral is "partial 16S ribosomal RNA". It matches the Rfam family "Bacterial small subunit ribosomal RNA", at positions 64 to 1346 of the family's 1533-position model. The record is from RNAcentral.